AUAUAUAUAUGCGUCCUGUCCGUCGCAAGCGAGGUUAGUUACUGAUAGUACGGACCUAGUGCCGUCGUUGGUGCUAAUCAGCUGUUGGUUGUAUGGAAUUCUAGGACUGGCUUAUUUGAAAAUACCGGUCAGCGAUGCUACUGCUUUGGGUACUUUCAGGACCCGUCUUGAAACACGGACCAAGGAGUCUAACAUGUACGCGAGUCAUUGGGAUUAUUAUAAAUGAAACCUAAAGGCAUAAUGAAAGUAAAGGUCGUCCUUGUGUCGACUAAGGGAGGAUGGGCUGUGUUACGAUAUAGNUCCGCACUCCCGGGGCNUCUCAUUCUCAUGCG
RNAcentral lists this ribosomal RNA (332 nucleotides) under Mesobracon sp. RNAcentral describes it as "partial 28S ribosomal RNA". It matches the Rfam family "Eukaryotic large subunit ribosomal RNA", at positions 477 to 783 of the family's 3401-position model. The record is from RNAcentral. Lineage: Eukaryota; Metazoa; Arthropoda; Insecta; Hymenoptera; Braconidae.